This 65-nucleotide transfer RNA is filed under the name Ephemerella sp. Yunnan-2018. RNAcentral's name for it is "tRNA-Leu". Lineage: Eukaryota; Metazoa; Arthropoda; Insecta; Ephemeroptera; Ephemerellidae. The record is from RNAcentral.
UCUAAUGUGGCAGAGUAGUGCUGUGGGUUUAAGCCCCACCCAGAAAGAUUUAUCUUUCGUUAGAA